AUUGAACGCUGGCGGCAUGCCUUACACAUGCAAGUCGAACGGCAGCGGACCUUCGGGUGCCGGCGAGUGGCGAACGGGUGAGUAAUACAUGGGAAUCUGCCCUGUAGUGGGGGAUAACUCUGGGAAACUGGAGGUAAUACCGCAUACGUCCUACGGGAGAAAGCGGGGGAUCUUCGGACCUCGCGCUACAGGAGGAGCCCAUGUCCGAUUAGCUAGUUGGUGAGGUAAAGGCUCACCAAGGCGACGAUCGGUAACUGGUCUGAGAGGAUGGUCAGUCACACUGGAACUGAGACACGGUCCAGACUCCUACGGGAGGCAGCAGUGGGGAAUAUUGGACAAAU
RNAcentral lists this ribosomal RNA (341 nucleotides) under uncultured bacterium. Its description in RNAcentral is "bacterial SSU rRNA". It matches the Rfam family "Bacterial small subunit ribosomal RNA", at positions 30 to 373 of the family's 1533-position model. The record is from RNAcentral.